This 150-nucleotide unclassified non-coding RNA is filed under the name Alternaria tenuissima. Its description in RNAcentral is "ITS1". The record is from RNAcentral. Lineage: Eukaryota; Fungi; Ascomycota; Dothideomycetes; Pleosporales; Pleosporaceae.
GCGGGCUGGACCUCUCGGGGUUACAGCCUUGCUGAAUUAUUCACCCUUGUCUUUUGCGUACUUCUUGUUUCCUUGGUGGGUUCGCCCACCACUAGGACAAACAUAAACCUUUUGUAAUUGCAAUCAGCGUCAGUAACAAAUUAAUAAUUA